GACGAACGCUGGCGGCGUGCUUAACACAUGCAAGUCGAACGGAAAGGCCCUGCUUUUGUGGGGUGCUCGAGUGGCGAACGGGUGAGUAACACGUGAGUAACCUGCCCUUGACUUUGGGAUAACUUCAGGAAACUGGGGCUAAUACCGGAUAGGAGCUCCUGCUGCAUGGUGGGGGUUGGAAAGUUUCGGCGGUUGGGGAUGGACUCGCGGCUUAUCCGCUUGUUGGUGGGGUAGUGGCUUACCAAGGCUUUGACGGGUAGCCGGCCUGGGAGGGUGACCGGCCACAGGGGGACUGAGAGACGGCCCAGACGCCUACGGGAGGCAGCAGGGGGGAAUAUUGCAGAAUGGGCGGAAGCCUGAGGUAGCAACGCCGCGUGCGGGAUGACGGCCUUCGGGGUGUAAACCGCUUUCGCCGGUGACGAAGCGUGAGUGACGGUAAUGGGUAAAGAAGCACCGGCUAACUACGUG
This 468-nucleotide ribosomal RNA is filed under the name uncultured bacterium. RNAcentral's name for it is "partial 16S ribosomal RNA". It matches the Rfam family "Bacterial small subunit ribosomal RNA", at positions 28 to 507 of the family's 1533-position model. The record is from RNAcentral.